RNAcentral lists this transfer RNA (58 nucleotides) under Branchiostoma floridae (Florida lancelet). RNAcentral's name for it is "tRNA-Cys". The record is from RNAcentral. Lineage: Eukaryota; Metazoa; Chordata; Leptocardii; Amphioxiformes; Branchiostomatidae.
GGCUUUAUAAAAAUUCUGGUUGCAACCCAGAAAAUAAAAGUAGACCUUUUGAAAGCCU